CUCUUCCUCACUAGAUUCCACACUUGGGCUCCUCUCAAGUCUUUUAUGUUUCCCUGAAGCUCUUGAGCUUGAAGCUCUUAAAGCUGCUGCUUUCCCUUUGCUUUUAGAACCAGCAGAAACCGAUUGUGGUCUUUCCCCUGAACCAGAAGCAACUGCCUUGCCAUUGUCUCUCCUUGGUACUUUGGGCAUCAAAACAGGGUUUCCUCUUGCCAUGGUACCUGUUUCAACAAUUUCUCAAACAAACAAUGAGUUUCUAGAGAUAAAAAUCCUUGAAAUUUCCAAAAUGAUUUUUGCUUGGAAUGAAAUCAAUGGAAACAAUUCAAGCAAAAUCACAUUAAGCAUUCCCAAGCAGCACCAAGAGAUUCUCACUUCAAAAUAAUUUUCUAAAAUCCAAAUUUCAGCUCAAGAACAACAAGUUCUAAAGAGAGUCUAAAAUCAGGAUUCAAGAAACAAUUGGGCACAAGUGAGCUCGUUUCUAGCUACCCACGACCUAAACUCCAAGGUUCUAACUCAGUUUCAAGCAGUGCAUUCUCAGUUCCACAAAAAUUUCUUCAAGAAAAAUCAAGAGAACAGCGAUUUAGGGUUUUUGAACCUAAGAAGCAAUUUAAGCAAAAUGUACCUUGGAGCUGGGUUAACUGGUGCAAGAAAUCGAAAUGGGGCAAAGAAAUCUCCAAGAAAAUCGAUUAACAAGCAAGAAAUCAAACUUUUUGAAAGCAACAAU
Molecule: long non-coding RNA, 721 nt
Filed under: Eutrema salsugineum
Lineage: Eukaryota; Viridiplantae; Streptophyta; Magnoliopsida; Brassicales; Brassicaceae
Description: long non-coding RNA (ESAL_LNC000384)
Source: RNAcentral